Anneissia japonica is the source of this 181-nucleotide long non-coding RNA. RefSeq lists it as uncharacterized. Lineage: Eukaryota; Metazoa; Echinodermata; Crinoidea; Comatulida; Comatulidae. The transcript is spliced from 3 exons. The record is from RefSeq and is a predicted model, not a curated record.
CCUAAAUCAACACCAACCACUGAAAUUGAUGAAUCCACAGAAGGAAAUAAUGAAAAACAAAUGACGAAAGCUAACACAAAUAAAGGCUGGAUGACGGUUGUGUAUGUAGUUGCGUCAAUUGCUUUUGUUAUUGUAGUCUUGGUUUUAUUAUAUAGGCUUCGUGAAAGAUCAUGUUGCAAGU